Long non-coding RNA from Phyllostomus hastatus (greater spear-nosed bat), 1244 nucleotides. RefSeq lists it as uncharacterized. The transcript is spliced from 2 exons. Lineage: Eukaryota; Metazoa; Chordata; Mammalia; Chiroptera; Phyllostomidae. The record is from RefSeq and is a predicted model, not a curated record.
CAGCAGUCUUGUGGCUGUGAGGGCUCCUGCCUAGAAAUGAAGCCCCAUCCUCAGAGGCCAGCAGACCCAGAGAUGCAUGAACAAUGCUGCUCCUGGAGGCCCCAGCACCCUUUCUCCCUUGGAUGGCAAACCAUGGACUGUGGACAGAUCCAACAGGAAUAGAAAGGACAACACAGCAUGGCUGUCCUAUGCCCUCAGGGGAAGAGGGGAAGAGACCAUGUAUCGUCCUCCCCAGGCCUGCCUUUGCCAGCCCCUGACCCCACAAGCCACAGAGCGUCCCUUGCAAGCAACCACUCCUUUCAUCUCAAACACCUAAAGGACCACCAGAAGGGCAAGCCAAGGAGAGACUCAAACAGCUCUCACUACUCCAGGUCACCUCGCCCCAGAACCAAGCCCUGGCCCCAGGAGAGCAAUGACCUGGAGACGUGACCCUUCAGGAUGCAGUGUCCAUCUCCAGCCACCCCCUCUUGAGUUCUGCCACAUGGCCCAGGAGGCCGGCCAUGCUUUUCUGCUGUGCAGCUUUGGGUAAAUCCCCAACUUCUCUGGUUCUCCUGCAUGUUCACUGGAGAGGAAGCACGGUGGCUCUGCACUCUGGAGCCCCAUGGGUGGGAAGUACAGGGCAGAGACUGCGGGGACCAUUGCCGCACCCAGGUGGCCCGAGCAUCGCCAGCCCCAAGGUCUGCGUGGAGCUCGGGGUCCGGCCCAGAGAGACUCUGAUUCCUGACCUUUCCCAGAGGGUCUAACCACUGGAGCAGCUUCGCGGACACCUCGGGUUUAGCUCGCUUGUGCCUGGGGCUCUGGUGGAACCCCCAACCUGCAGAACCCCCAACUCCACGGCUCCAACGCUGUGAGCAGGCCCCCACUUCCUCCCCUCCUGUCACUAAGUGACCCUGAAAAAUCCAGCCUGUUCUCCGGACCUCAGUUAUCCCAUCCGUGCAGGAUGAACACAAAAACUAUAAUCUGAAGACGCUGUUUUUCUCUCUAAACCGGAAAGCUAGGACUACCACGGAUCCGCGUGCCGCGCGCGCCCUCUAGUGUCCAGUUCCGCCGCUGCACCAUUUUCAGGGCGAAGCCCGGCCCCUUUCGUGUAUUGGUUAAUAAAAGAGGCGAUAGAAAAGGGAUUGGAUAAAUCAACCUCCGGGUGCAUCAGUAAUAGAUGAAUGGCAAUGAAGGAGUGAACAAUGGAAUGGAUGGACAUUAAAAUGAAUGCACGCACAAAGUGAAUAAAUGAGCAGUGAAACUGA